UAAUGUAUGGGGAUCUGCCCGAUAGAGGGGGAUAACUACUGGAAACGGUGGCUAAUACCGCAUAAUGUCUACGGACCAAAGCAGGGGCUCUUCGGACCUUGCACUAUCGGAUGAACCCAUAUGGGAUUAGCUAGUAGGUGGGGUAAAGGCUCACCUAGGCGACGAUCUCUAGCUGGUCUGAGAGGAUGAUCAGCCACACUGGGACUGAGGCACGGCCCAG
RNAcentral lists this ribosomal RNA (220 nucleotides) under uncultured bacterium. RNAcentral's name for it is "partial 16S ribosomal RNA". It matches the Rfam family "Bacterial small subunit ribosomal RNA", at positions 111 to 334 of the family's 1533-position model. The record is from RNAcentral.